AUGUCCAGCUGUGGACAGGUAGUAGCCUACACACAUGUCCAGCUGUGGACAGGUAGGAGCCUACACACAUCUGUGGACAGGUAGGAGCCUACACACAUGUCCAGCUGUGGACAGGUAGGAGCCUACACACAUGUCCAGCUGUGGACAGGUAGGAGCCUACACACAUGUCCAGCUGUGGACAGGUAGGAGCCUACACACAUCUGUGGACAGGUAGGAGCCUACACACAUGUCCAGCUGUGGACAGGUAGGAGCCUACACACACGUCCAACUGUGGACAGGUAGGAGCCUACACACAUGUCCUACACACAUGUCCAGCUGUGGACAGGUAGGAACUACACACAUGUCCAGCUGUGGACAGGUAGUAGCCUACACACAUGUCCAGCUGUGGACAGGUAGGAGCCUACACACAUGUCCAGCUGUGGACAGGUAGGAGCAUACACACAUGUCCAGGUGUGGACAGAUAGGAGCCUACACACAUCUGUGGACAGGUAGGAGCCUACACACAUGUCCAGCUGUGGACAGGUAGGAGCCUACACACAUGUCCUACACACAUGUCCAACUGUGGACAGGUAGGAGCCUACACACAUGUCCUACACACAUGUCCAGCUGUGGACAGGUAGGAGCCUACACACACGUCCAACUGUGGACAGGUAGGAGCCUACACACAUGUCCAGCUGUGGACAGGUAGGAGCCUACACACACGUCCAGCUGUGGACAGGUAGGAGCCUACACACACGUCCAGCUGUGGACAGGUAGGAGCCUACACACGUCCAGCUGUGGACAGGUAGGAGCCUACACACAUGUCCAGCUGUACACAUGUGGACAGGUUGGAGCCUACAUGCAGUCAUAAGUAGCAGCCAAUGGGAGACAGGGUAGCAAAUGCACUAUUCAUCAGUAUGGAACUGAACUAAAAGAUGUUUCUGAGAUCCAGUCCCACACAUUAGAGGCCGCACCUGUCUCUCAUAUACAUGUUACAUAAACAUUUCUCUCUGAAAACAAAUGUAACAUUAGCUUCAUAAAGGUGAUAUUUGCCUGGAUAAUACAUGUCAUUACAGCUACUAAUGCUGGACAAUGAAUCCUAUUGUAUUAAAGCCUCUGAACAGGGGAUUUCACUUCUUCUGGCUGAUUAGACUCUCUAAGCUGAAGUCCAGUCCACACUCUUCUAACUGCUGGGAUUGUAAUAAAUUACACGAUGAGGAAGGAAAUAUCACGCAGCAACAUCUGUGAUAGUUCCAUUUAUCAUUCUCCAGGUAAAAGUGAUGUGUUAUCAUUGUGUUGUCC
Long non-coding RNA from Sander lucioperca (pikeperch), 1281 nucleotides. RefSeq lists it as uncharacterized. The transcript has 4 exons. The record is from RefSeq and is a predicted model, not a curated record. Lineage: Eukaryota; Metazoa; Chordata; Actinopteri; Perciformes; Percidae.